GAGGGCAGAUCUGUGAGCAAUCAAUGGCGUAAUGUCCCGUGUCUGUACUUUCAGUCAGCCUUUCUUACUCACCGCCUGAAAUGCAAAUCACCCGUGCCUUAUAGACGAGCAGUCGAAUCUGGGCAAUUAUAAUAUUUUAGUAUGUACACCGUGCUCAGCUAAGCUAUGCCAAUGCCUAUAUGAGGUUCACAAUUAGCAUAUGUAUACUUUAUCUCCGUCUACCUCCUUCCUUUAACCAAGUCAGUCUUUAUGACCGCCAUAAAACCCCUCAGGCUGUUCGCCUGGAGUGAGAGGUGCUGAAAAGGUAGGCUAUUACUACUAGAUGAAUAAUGGGGAGCUGUUUGACACUUAGGCUUCAACUGCACAUUGAGCUUUUCACAUGCUAACCAAGUAUGACCCUCACAGGGACACGUCUAGGGUUCUUUCUUGAAAAGAGAGCAACAAUCACGAAGACAGUAAUUACUUUCUAGUCAUGGGGCUACUGACACAAUGUCUUAUCUAUGCCUUUGGCCCAGCGUGACCACCCAGAUGAAAGUACUAUCCCCCUACAGACUACAAAUACAAGUAAAGGAUGCAAUUCUUAUACUAAGCAGACAGUCAAUACAGCUCUCCUUUUCAAGGGCAAGAAACGACCUGCCCUGGAGAAUCAAGUCAAUCAAAAUCGACGUGGCACAAUGACCAGAUACCGCCACUUCCUGUCCCCCCAUGCAGGCCACCACACUGAGUGUUCACAGCACGUACGUGAGCAUAUGGCUAUAACACAACGCACCUUCACACAUACACAGCCUUUAACUCUGAGGUAGACACACACCUUGAUGAAAGACUUCAUGCGUCAUUGUGAUGUGUGAUGGGCAGCCUUAUCUGCAGGAGUCCCUGCCUUUUACUCCUAAAGGUCUGAGGCCUGUUAGACUUUUUUAGGUAGUCUGACAUGCCUUGAUGUUUUUGUAUAUUUCCUCUAACUAAAAACAUUGAUGCACAAGUGGCAUAUAUAUAGAAGAUUCAAUGUUUCUGGGGGUGUUCUUUUCAUGACUUUAGGACAAAAACUCACAGAGCUAUAAAGGCAUAUUGAUAACAAGAAUCCACACCGGUGGGAAAUAGACCUUUAAGGGUUAAUGUAACUCAGCUAGAGCAAGGCUCAGGCCUCUCAAUUUAACUGCCAAUUGAUCUCAGUCUAAACACGGCAUUCAUUAAAACAGCCAGGGUGCCAGCCCGCUGAACUCAACAGCAGAACUGUUUACAGCACAGGCUUUCAGACAGACAUAGAUUCGUAAAGAGAGAAAUACAGACAGAUAGAUAGGCAGACAGACAGAUAGGUAGAUAGAUAGAUAGAUACAUAGAUAGAUACAUAGAUAGACAUAUAGAUAGAUAGAUAGAUAGGUAGGUGGACAGAUAGAUAGCUAGAUAUAUAGAUAGAUAGACAAACAUACAGACAGAUAGGUAGAUAGAGAGAUAGAUAGAUAAAUAGAUAGAUAGAUAGGUGGACAGAUAGAUAGCUAGAUAUAUAGAUAGACAGACAGACAGAUAGGUAGAUAGAGAGAUAGAUAGAUAGAUAGAGAGAUAGAUAGAGAGAUAGAUAGAGAGAUAGAUAGAUAGAUAGA
Molecule: long non-coding RNA, 1598 nt
Organism: Clupea harengus (Atlantic herring)
Lineage: Eukaryota; Metazoa; Chordata; Actinopteri; Clupeiformes; Clupeidae
Source: Ensembl